GUGCUCACUCAGGCAGCAUAUACACUAAAACUGAAACAAUACAGAGGUUACCCUGGCCCUGUGCAAGGAUGAUGUACAAAUUCAUAAAAUUCAUAAAACAUUA
This is a small nuclear RNA of Phodopus roborovskii (desert hamster), 103 nucleotides long. NCBI's taxonomy places the organism in Eukaryota, Metazoa, Chordata, Mammalia, Rodentia, Cricetidae. The record is from RefSeq and is a predicted model, not a curated record.